This 468-nucleotide ribosomal RNA is filed under the name uncultured bacterium. RNAcentral's name for it is "partial 16S ribosomal RNA". It matches the Rfam family "Bacterial small subunit ribosomal RNA", at positions 28 to 507 of the family's 1533-position model. The record is from RNAcentral.
GACGAACGCUGGCGGCGUGCUUAACACAUGCAAGUCGAACGGAAAGGCCCUGCUUUUGUGGGGUGCUCGAGUGGCGAACGGGUGAGUAACACGUGAGUAACCUGCCCUUGACUUUGGGAUAACUUCAGGAAACUGGGGCUAAUACCGGAUAGGAGCUCCUGCUGCAUGGUGGGGGUUGGAAAGUUUCGGCGGUUGGGGAUGGACUCGCGGCUUAUCAGCUUGUUGGUGGGGUAGUGGCUUACCAAGGCUUUGGCGGGUAGCCGGCCUGAGUGGGGGACCGGCCAAAUUGGGACUGGGAUGCGGCCCAGACUCCUACGGGAGGCAGCAGUGGGGAAUAUUGCACAAUGGGCGGAAGCCUGAUGCAGAAACGCCGCGGGCGGGAUGACGGCCUUCGGGUUGUAACCCGCUUUCGCCGGGGACGAAGCGUGAGUGACGGUAAUGGGUAAAGAAGCACCGGCUAACUACGUG